CCCGCCUCAGCCUUCCAAGGUGCUGGGAUUAUAGGGGUGAGCCACCGUGCCUAGCCUAGUUUAUUUUUUUAAAGCAGUUAUUCCUAUCCCAUUUGGGCUCUGGUAUUUAUUCUCCUGAUCAGAAAUUAGCCAAGGCAGCAACUUGGGAGUCCUUUUAUUCCUUUUUAAAAAGACAUUCAAAUGAUACUGUAGAUUCCUUUGACUUUAUUUAAAAUUGCAUUUUUAUUUUUAUUUUUAUAAAGGAAGAAAUCUUGUUGAUAUUGUUAGAAACUACAUCCUUACUGCUUAGAAUAGUGCACAUUAUAAGUACCUCAAAAAUACAUAUUUUUUUAAAUGAAUGAAUCUGCAUUUCUGCUAAAAGUACUCAUUAACUGCAAGGUCAAUGUGAAUUAACAGUCUGAUGUGGCUCUCCUAAAACCCAAAUGCCAUUUUAGGCUGCAAUAAUGGAGGUGUCAGAUCCAGGAUAAAUGAAGAACAUAAUUCAUUCUACUCUUAGUUUUUUGGAGUAUAACACUUAGUUAAAUAUAGUACCACACAGCAGGAAAGACUGAUAUUAAUACAUUUUAGUGCAGUGUUUCUAACUUUCUUUUUCCAUCCUGGUGACCCCAGAAAAUGGUAAUAUUUGUAAGAUACAAAUGGGUAAAAAAGGCUUUGCUUAUCUCAGGGCUGGGGGACUAAGACGCUGUCAAGAACUAACAAAUUUCUCUUAGUUGCUCUUUAAAUGUUGAUAAUGAGAGAAUAUUUUUAUGACAAAGGAGAGAGACUUUUUUAUUCUAAAAAAUCUGUAAUACUCAGGAAACAACAUAAAAUGAUUAUAAUGCUUUCUCUCAUGCACACCCCAAUGCCAUGACACUCACAGAAAAUAAUAUGUUGGCACACUUGUAACACCCAGUUUGAGAAGCUGUAGUCUAUUGUGUCAGUAGAAAACCAGCUGGGAUGGGCGAGGGAAACAGAAGCCACAGAAUUAGUCAUUAUACAGGCCACAAUUAAUCCAGCACCUCUAAUGUAAGGCACUUUGCAUAUAUGAACUCAUUAAUCCAUUUAUCAAUAAAAUGGGAUGGUGUUAUUUUCUCUGCUUUCUCAUUAAGGAAACAGAGACUUAGAGACAUUUAAUAUUGUAUCUAGGUUUGUGUAAGUGCUUUAUGGUGAGCUGGAUUUUGAAUCUAGGACUGACCCCAAAUCCCAUGUUAUUUUCUCUGCAAAAUAGCAAGACAGAAAGGGCUUCUAUAUGUACACCUGUCUUCAAAUGUAAAAGGACUGCUAGGUGGCAGAGAGAUUAGAAAUUUCUGAUGCUCCAAGAAGUUGAUCUCUUACCUAUGAGUGGAAUAAUGAAGGGGGACAGACUCUAUUUCAGAAUAAUGAAGAAAUGACUAUCUUAUGAAGGUAGAAUUCUCUACCACAGAUGGUGUUUAGCACAUGACUACUUCUUAGGGAGUUUUAGAAGAAACUCCUAUUUGGAUGACCCCUGACUUUGCUUCCAACUUCCAGUAUGAUGUUAUAGUAAGUAAAAAGCAUGAGACAAAUCUGUUAGAAAUACUGUUUCUUUUACAUGAACUUUCUCAGGAAGGAUUUGUAUUUUAGACUAAUUGCAUGUGGAUAAAGAGCUGACUUCCAAGAUAAAAGGCUCAAUAGUUCUCCAAAGAGUUUACAAGUGCCUUUCUUUGAAGACUGCCCUAUUAUUUUGGAGCUUCCAAGACCUGGUCAGAAAUGCAUACAUUCUCAAAAAUCAAAAUACAAUCCCAAACCUCCAUCAUCAGCAAGGUUGCAGUAUAAUAAAGAGGCUCUAUUACUUUCCUCAAUCCUUCUCAAAGUGAAUGGACAUCAAUUAACAAGAAAUCUUAGAAUCAUUAGAUUACCCUACUAUAGACAAUGGUUUAAGGCAAUUUUAAUGUGAUUCUGUUGUGUGUGUAAGAUAAAUAUUAUAUUUAUUUUCAAAUUUCCUCCUGUGUUUUACUACAUUUUGGGGGAGGAAAUGCCCUUUUCAUCUUCCCACAAUCUCUUUCAUAGACACCCUUUCAAUUUUUGUUUUAGAAUACAUCUCCUCUAAUAAAUCAAGGGUUUUCUAGGAAGCACACUUUUGUCCUGGACAGAGCACAGGAAAAUUAAAUAAAGGGCUGGCUACUGAUCAGUAAAGAGAAAUCGUAGAGCCAGGUAACAUCACUGCUGCUGUCUCCACCACUGUCUUCUCUGCCUUUGCCCCAUCUCUCCCUUUCUCCUCUUUACUUCCUUCCAGCCAAGCAAUUGGUGCCCCAUUCAACCUCCAGUCCUGUGAGGAGUCUGAAAUGAUUCUGGACUUGCAGUGACUGUUUCCUUUAUUCUUUAUUCCCCAAACCAAGGAUAAUUAUGAGACAAACCUAGGCCAGGCAUGGUGGCUCACGCCUAUAAUCCCAGCACUUUGGGAGGUCGAGGCAGGAGGAUUGCUUGAGUCCAGGAUCAAGACCAGCCUGGACAACAUAGUGAGAUCCCAUCUCUACCAAAAAAAAAAAAAAAUAGCCAGGCAUAGUGGUCUGUGCCUGUUGUCUCAGCUACUUGGGAGGCAGAGGUGGGAGGAUCACUUGAGCCCAAGAGUUCCAGGCUAUAGUGAGCUAGGAUCAUACCACUGCACUCCAGCCUGGGCAGCAGAGUGAGUCACCAUCUCUUGAGACAGAAAGAGAGAGAGAGAGAGAGAGAAUCUUAACCGUUACAGAGAAGAAAAUUCUAGAUAGGGAUGUGGCCUUUCAGUCACUUGCAAAUGAUCUCCUUUUCCUUGGCUGCAAGUAUCUUUCAUUAUAAAGAAGAAUGAUUGAAGUCAGAGAGAAAUUUUAGUGGAUCUGGAUUGCAGAUAAUUCUGUCAUUAGUGGCAUUAAUUAUUGUGCAAGUUUCUUAUCCAGAUUCCCUCAUCUGUACUACAUUCCCUCACCUAUACAUUGGUGGUAACUGAUAGGGUUGUUGGGGGGAUUAAAUGGGAAAAUGGGAUAGAUCUUGUAAAAUACUCAGCAUAGUGCCUGACAUAGUAUUAAAUGUUAACCAUUAUUAGUAUCAUUAGUUUAUCAGUAUAUAGAAUUAAAGGAAAUACAUACCUAAGGAAGUAUAACACUAAUAUGUAAAAAGGUAGCUUUGCUGCCUUUUAUACCUGUGCACUUACAUUUCUUUGAGAUUUUAGGUUACUGUGCAUUGUUUUUCUGUUGGUGUACUUGCUUCAAUACAUUGAGAAAAUAAACUAAUGAAUAUUAAUCUAUUAAAUAUCCCUCUAAAGUAUAUACAACAUGGUUAAAUGCUUUGUAAAGCCUCAUCAAACCUAAGGCUAUUAAAAUUGUUUUCCCUGAAAGUAUGUUUUACGUUUUAAAUACACAUAUUAUCUUUAAAAAGUAGUUACUAUCUUUUAGUCAGUGCUGGAACCUCUAAUUCUAAAGUCUGGAGACAUACUGCUACUGCCACUGAAGUCUGCAAGUGGAUUGGCAUGCUCCUAAGAAGCGUGGGCAUAGUUCAGAAAAUUAUCUUAGAAGGCAAAGAAGAACACUCUGUAAAUGGAGUUGGAAAUCUUUAUAUUGAGCUGAUAGUUCUGUAUCUUAAGAUUAACAAUCUUCUAGACACUAAAAUUAUUCAAACUCAAGACAAUCCCUGAUGAAUUAGUUUAAUUGCCCUGAUGUGGGCCAAAGAUUAAGGUUACAUACAUUCUCAUUGAGAGAGCCAUGUCACUUUUUAUUAAAUUUCAGACUCCUUCAGUUAGAUUUACACUGGGGUGUUUUUUCCCGUCUAACAACAUUUAGAUUUAACUUCUUGUUCACCUUUCUUACUACUUGUUUUUGUCUAGCAUGAUUUUUGUGCCUUCAGGUGCACAUGAAUUAUUUAUGUACCCACAUGAUUUUCUUCCUACAUCUCUACGCUGUGUUUUAAGUAAAAAGUUAUGAAGGAAUAUUAAAUAAGAUGAAAGCAAAACCAAGGGAAAUGCAAUAUAGUUGUGUGUAUGUACUGGUAAUGCUAACCAUCAAGUAUUACUGGACUCAGCUGAAAAAAGCAAAUAUGAGCUAUUCUGUAACUGCCUUCACCAGUUGCUCAUUUUGUAUUGCCCUAGGGCAAGAUUAGUUCCUAGAAGACAUCAUUCUGCAAUAUAACCCCUUCUCACCUUUAAUCUCCCGAGGCCCUUUCCUGCCCCAAAUACCAGGUAAUUUUACUAAAUCAUAAUGCAUUUUGUUAGCAGCAUGGGGAAAGGGACUAAAUGAAUGUUGGAUCAUCUAUUAUGCCAGUGGAUAAAUUACAAAGUGCCAUUUCUCCAAAUCAAAUGCAUUUGCAAAUCAAACCCUGCAGUAGCUGCAAAAAGCAGACAUUGCCUGACUCAUAUUUUACAGUUUCAGUUCUAAAUCUUUAGAAUGCCUUAAAAUGAAUGUAAAAAGACAUAAAUCUUCAGAAUGCCUUAAAAUGAAUGUAAAAAGUCAUAAAUCUUUAGAAUGCCUUUAAUUCCACAAAAACAAUUGUAUAUCUCCUUCCAUGCCAUUCACAGAGAGUAAAGAAAUUUGCUACACUUGCACUAUUCUAUCCUAACAAUUCAUAUCCCUAACAGGCCUUUCUCAGAGACCCAUCUCUCGCUUAAUCUUCUUCAAAAGCCAUAAAACUCAUGCUUUUUCUAUGAUGGAGAGACAACUUUAGUCCAAAAUCCCCAACUUUGAAUUUUCAUCUUCAAAAUAUCCUCGCUGUAGGGAGUAAACCCCUUCCUUGGCUUUCAAGUAAAAAAAAAAAAAAAUUGAAAAUGAAAAUGGUGUUUCAAGUAACUUGAUCCUAUGUAUCUCUGUAUCACUCAACACCUGUUUCUUUCUUCUAACCUCACAGUUUGCCCUAAAAUUUUUGGGUUUAAAACUAUAUCACAUCCAUCACAAAGUUGGAGAUCAGAAAAAGUGCCUUGAUAGGCCAUUGGGAAACCAUCUGCCGACUUUCAACUGGCUUCCAAGAAAGUGCAAAGUAAAACAUUUUAUUGGCUUGUAGUGUUAAGAAAAUGAGGCUGUAAGGCAUUAAGUCAACCACAACAAACCAGUGAUUUUGUUUUUCCUCUAAUACCUAAACCUGGUCCAAUAUAUCUAGUGAAAUCUUUUACUUCUUUUUCUUUGGCAAUGAAAGAGAACAUGCUUUCAUGUAAAAUGACCUCUGAAACAACAGUGCAGUAAUGUGGCCAGAGCAGUGUGUUUAGAGUCUGAAAAUCAAGAGUGACCUUGCUAUGUAAUCUUUGACAACUCUCUUACUCUCUGGGUGUCCUGUGAGUUGGAUUUCUCUUUCUGUAAAAUAUACACGGCCUUUUAUCUACUACAGUAGGAAUAGAAAAAAAAUUUGAGAACUCUCUUAGCAUUGCAUUUUUUGGGUAUGAGAAUUUUUAAUUUUUUAAGAGUCACAGCUCAUUUACUUUCAGAUUGUAUCUGUGUUGUGGUUUCAUUUUGCAGUCUCUGCAUAUCCACUAUUUUAGCUACUGAUAUUAUUCCAAAUUAUUUUUUGUCACCAAAACCAAAAAUAGUAGGUCCUGAAUAGCCACUAUAGGUCUUUAUGUUUUUCUUUAGUGUAGUACCUCUAGAGAGCAGUUUAUUUUAACUCUCUUCUUUUCUAGAUUGUUCAUGUUGGAAGGCAUACUUUCUGAACUCUUCUCAAGUGAUGAUAAAAUGGACUAGUUGAUAAAUCUUUCUGGUACAGGUUUUCAAAACUUCCAUCUAUCCACUGUGCUUUCAUGUUAAAGAAAGAAUGGAAACAUCAUCUCUAAAACAAGAUAAACAGCUCUGGGGCUGAGGAGGCCAGCCUGCUACUGGGUAGUUUUGAUAUCAGAAGUAUUUCAAAACCUCUCCCUUGUGGAGGAUGAGUUAUAUACCCACCCUGGGGCAUCAACAUGAAGCUGCUGCCCAGUGUGCCAUUGACGGAACGCUGCAGGUCGGACAGGCCGCUCCUGCUAAAGUGUAACUUAAGUUAUUCUCACAGAAGUACCAUCCCACAGAACCCACCCGGGGGACUGUGGUUCUACACUGACUCAGUGAUCAGAGUGGGGACAUUUUCUUAUCCUUCCAGAGACUGACAAGAGAGGGGACCUGAAGGUACCUUGAUCUCACAGCUGCAUCCUGAUACAUAUAUUUUUAAUACUGUGAUGGGAAUAAAUUACUCUGAGGCUCCCAAUAAUGGCUGUUUUUGUUUUGACAAAUGAGGCUCUGAGGUUAGAUCCCAUAAACCUCUACUUCCAUCAAUGGAGAUUGAAAUAUUCAUGUAAAUUAUCUGCAUAAAUUCAGUGUCAAUCUAUUCAGAUAAGGACCACGGUUGUUUUUAGAGAAAGAACUGGAACGUAAACAGGUGAUUUUCAAGGGCUUUCUUUUUACAAAUUGCCCGCUCGUUACAGAAGGGUGCUAUGAGAAGAGCAGACUGGGUGGGGUCAUGGCUCACUUCUGUUUCCAGUGACUCCAUUUUCUAUGACUUCUCAGCCUUUUCAUGGGCCAGGAGGUUGAGCUGAAAGCAGCUUUGGCCACGUAAAUGAUGUUGGGGCACAGGCAUUUUAGGAGGUGUGGAGGAUGUAGUGGCUACCAAGGUAAAUAAAUCCUCUUUUCUCAGAAUACUGGCUAUGUGAAAAUUACGGCUUUUCUCUUUUUUCAAGGUUUUUGUAAAAUUGCUCUUGGAUUGAUUGCAUGAAUUUUGUUGUUGUGUUUCCUUUUAUAAUUUUUGACCUUCAGAGCUCAAAGAGGCGAUCUCAUUUGCACAACACUAAAAGAUGCAGGUUAUUCCAUUGUGUUGUGUGUGUGUUUUUUUGUUUUGUUUUGUUUUUGAGGCAGAGUCUCACCCUGUCGCCCAGGCUGGAGUGCAAUGGCCCAAUCUCAGCUCAAUGCAACCUCCGCCUCCUGGGUUCAAGUGAUUCUCCUGCUUCAGCCACCGAAGUAGCUGGAGUUACAGGCAUGCGCCACCACGCCUAGCUAAUUUUUGUAUUUUUAGUAGAGAUGGGGUUUCAUCAUGUUGGCCAGGCUGGUCUCCACCUCCUGACUUCUGGUGAUCCACCCGCCUCUGCCUCCCAAAGUGCUGGGGAUUACAGGCGUGAGCCACCACGCCCGGCUGUGUGUGUGUUUUUAAAAAAGCUUUAUAACAAAUGUAUACAUGCAGCUGACAGAGUAAUAGUCUUAUUUUACAUGUGUGUUAAGUCUCUUAAUGCUAACACUAAAUGCAAAACAGGUGCUGGAAAGAGCCUAAAGCAAUUAUAGUAGGGAUGACACAUCAGUAGUUGUUAUAAUGACUUAACAAUUAAGGGUUCACUGAAAUUCUUGUCAAACUCAGGAGACUGCUCAGCAUCAUCAUCAUCUUGUGGAAGUGCAACAAUUAAGCUCUUGCUUUGCUAUGUUGUUAUUCAGAACUGAAAACGCCCUUUGGAUUAAUUUUUCUUCAUUUCCCAGCCUGCUCAUUUUAUUGAAUGACGUGGUUAUGGGACCCUGGUAAGUUUUGAUUCGCCUUCUGUUAAGAGGUUUAUUUUUACCUACUUUCUAUUAAAGGCCCCUUACCCCCAGCUUAAGCCAUAGAUGAAAUUACAUGUUUUGCAAACUAUGCUCGAGUCACAUAUGUCUUCAUUUCAUAACAUUAUAUAGACCAUAUCUACUGUAAUUCUUUUUAUUAUCAGUACUGAAAUUCUGACAGUUUUGGUGGAAGUUAAAACAGACUCAAAGACAGUUGAAAAUCCUUUCAAAGACUCAAAAUGUAAACCUAAUUUUUACCAAUAUUAAUUUAUACAAUGGUAGAAGUUAAGUUUGAUUUCUUCUUCCAGAUGCUAAAGUUCCGGUUAGCAUCACUUCUCUUAUUCUCUUUCUUGUUCUUUUUAAAAAAUCUGUCUUGGAUAAGAUGUCAGUUACAUGUGUGCUAUUCCUGCUUUCACUUAAAGGUUAAAAUUAAGUCUUUUGUUUGUUCCGACUGCAAUUCAUUCCUGGCAUUGGAUAAGAGCUAAGCUAUUGCUUCUCCAAGUUCUUCCCACAAUAAAGGUGGAAGUAACAGUAAAAUGAUUACUAGCUUUUCUAAUGUGAAUUAUAAUACACCUGACAAAACAAAUUCACUUUAAUAUAAAGUGGGAUGUAGAAUUUUAUUUCAUCAGCCACUUGUCAAACUAACUCACUUAGAAACUCUAACGUUGUUUUUAACCUUUGCAUUAAUGUUGCUUUUCAUUUUCAUUAUCAAAAAAUUCAUCAAGUUUCAAAUGACGUGCCCUUUCUAGGGGUUAUGUAUGCUUUCACUUUUUAAUAGCAAUUAAUAUACUGUGUGAAAAGUAUUACUUCAUUUUAUCUACUCUAGUUUUUUGAGGUUAGAGUUACACUCAAUUCAGCAUGUUCUAGAACUAGGUACUAGGAAAAAUACCCUUCUUUCUGGUUACUCUUAUGCAACCUAGAGUCAUCUUUAUUAUGAAAGUACAUUGGGCAUUGGCAAAAAUAAAACUAACCUCUUAAUCUUAGAGUAUAAGAUUAGGUGUGUAGUAAAUAUCUUUAAAAUACUUAGCAACUUGAAAAACAGCAACAAAGAACUUUUUUUAGGUGACUCUUACUUAUUAUAAACUACUCUGCAAUUAGGCAACCGAGACCCUAAGGAUUUUAAGAUUACAAAGUGGUUAAUGGGAAGAAAAUCUGGCUUUCAGACUCCUUGUUCUGUGUUUCAUAACCAGAUGAAGAAGGGGCUACAGCCCUCAUCGUCUAAGGACAGUCUCUCCAUUCAGCUUUUCUGAAUAGAGACCUCAUGGUUUUCUUCCUGUUACUGAAGAACCUCUGUGGUGUGACUUUUCCUUGACUAUCUGAAACAAUUUACACACCCUCCCUGCCAUGCCUUCACUUCAGUCCAUCUUCCAUCCGUGAACACACCGGGCCCGAUCCUGUUCCUUCCUUGUGCCCCACCCUUCUCCCCCACAUCUUGCUGGCUGUUCUUUUUCACCACUUGGUUUUUCAUCCUUUAGAGUUCAGCUCUGGUCUUAUCUCCUCCAUUACCUACUAUUAACACCAACCUCUCCUUCCUCUGAACUCUAAAACUUACAGCUAUACUAUUUUAUAUUUUUAUUUUGUUUAUAUGUGGCUUUACAUUAUAUGAUCCUUAUGAACUAUAUUUUCUAUGUCUAUGUCUACCACUAGCAACACAAUAGUUUUAUACAUCUUAUAUAAUUUAAUUGAAGGGGCAGAAAUGGUCAAUGUGCUCCUUUGGUUCCCCUGUUCAUCAUCCCAUUUCUGGUGGUUUGAAUUGGAGACUACAAGCGAAAUGAAUCAGUCAGAGUACAGUCAGGAAAAAAGAACCCAGACCAAGUGGUUUCACUGAGAGAAUUUAACAUGGGGAACUUAAGAAGUGGGAAGUGCUAAAAAGGCAAACAGCAAAUGGUGAAGGCAGGUCUUUGCAAAAGUAGGAAGUUACCAUCACCUUUCUAGAGGAGGUGGUUUCACCACAGUUUAGGAGCUGGGGCUGCUCAGUGGGUGCUGCGACCACCAAGGGUAAGGCUUCCCCAGGGAAGCUGGGACCACGGAGGAGACACAAGCAAUAUCAGAAGUACUGGCCAAAGCGAGGAAUGGAGGAGCAUUCACUGGCUUCUCCCCGCCUACGUUCCAGACUCCUGCCAGUGAUGCUUACUAACCAAACUAAACAGAAGCCAGCUAGCAAAGAAGCACUGGUAAUGUGUUUUUCAGAAAUCAACCCUCUGUGAUACAGAGCAGAACAGGGGAAGCAGAAAAAAGAAAUCUAAGAGUAAAUGGGCAAAUGAUUAACAUGUUGAUAGAGCAGAAUUGAACACAUUCAAAGCUAUUCUACAUGUGGUGGAAACUACAAAUAAUUCAAUAGCUCAUAAGUAACUUGUUUCCAACAUCUUUCCUGGAAUUACUAUUUCUGAAUGAUCACAAGUUAAUAAUUUAGACUUCUUAAAUAAUUUAUAAUCCCUUUUAUUUUAUUAUAAAUUAUAAAAUACAAAGUAUUUCUGUCUAUCCUUGGCCUGUUUCAAAGGAUUGCAACUAUUCUCGCAUCCAAAUGUAACAUAUAAAGAAAUGAUUUCCAAAAUGUAUUUUCUAAUUUAAUCCAAUCUCCUAAAUUGUAGCCACUCCCCAAAUUACACCUAUUCAAUAUAUUUUCCAUCUACUAACAUAUCUAAAACUAAUCUCAUCCUUUUGUAAUUAGCUGAGACUUUUUCAUUUAAAAGUGAUAGAAAUCCAACUCAAACUAGCAUAAGCAAAGUAGGAAACAUAUAGGCUUAAUCUAACUGGGAAAUCUAAAUCUAAAUCUUGUAUUUCAGGCAUAGCAGAAUCCAGGAGCUUAAACGAUAUUAUUUAAAUUCAUUCUCUCUCUCUUGUUCACUCACUCUCCUCUGCCUGCCUUUGUUUAAUUUUGCUCUCAGACAGGCUAGCUUCAUGCGUGAUAUGCGUAGAAUUCCUGCAGGAUCGCAUGCCCACCUAGAGAACCAUUCCCUGAGGCCAAGUAUACAGUGGAUUCUGAUUGGCCAGACCUAGAGCUACUACAAAGGACUACAGAGUUCUUACGUGAAUCUGCUCAAGAUUUGCUGUGACUUGCUGUAGAAGAGUGGGUACAGAGGAAAGGCCCUAUGAGGAUACAGCAAGAAGGCAGCCAUCUGCAAGUCAGGAAGAGACCUAUCAUCAGAAACCAACCAUGCUGGCACCUUGAUCUUGGACUUUGAGUCUCCAGAACUGUGAGAAAUAAAGUUGUUGUUUAAGCCACCUAGUCUCUGAUAUUCUGCUACAGCAGUUUGAGCAGAGUAAUAUAGUUGGCUAUCCAGUUAAACGCCCUAUCACCUACAGCCCCAUCCUCAUUGCCUACUUCCUUCUAGAGAGUGAGCUCCCAUAGAUCUGGCUAAGUGAGUAGCAAGGAAGCAAUGUAAUCUUGCGACCUGAGAACAGCCAUUUAUCCCAGCUGUUCACACUUGAUCUAAGUUUGUCCAACAGAUUCACUCUAGGGGGAAUUUAAAGCAGGGACUUAGAAAUUCUAGUUAGUUUCUGUGAGAUGCCUUAAAAGAGAAAGUAUUUGAAGCCUGGGCUGUGGAACCAUGUGCAUGAAUAUUUUUGGGGAGAAGAAAAAGAAUAAAGUAGAUAUGCAAAUGUGUGAAGAGAGGAAGAGAUGCUAAUCCAUGAGAGUAGCCUAAGAGAGACUGGAGGAGGGACCUUGGCUGUGAACUCUGAAGUGCUGACUUCCAGUCUCUUAAGAGUCCCCAUUCAAGUUCUGUACUUGGUUUCUAUGAAAUAUCUCUGAUUUUUAACAAAAAUUCCUUUUUGCUUCAGCUGUCUCUAAGCAACUUCUGUUGUUUUGCAACCUGAUUCCUUAGUAAGACAUAUGGAAACAUGUAAAUCAAAGCCUAAAGUAUGAAUUAAGUAAAAAUUCCACAAUAAACAUAAGGUUGAUUCAUGAAUUUGCUAAUCAUUCUCCCUCACUGUGGAAAUAAUGAGAAUUUUAUUCUUAAUCUAUGGCAGUUAUAGGUCUCUAUAGGUUCAGUUAUUUUGAUUUCUUGUUCACAUUCUACAUUGUAAGUCUUUCUGAGGAAGAUCCUGCCGUGUGUUAACAAAGGUAAGAAGAAUAUAUUUCAUUUAUUCAUUUAAAAAAUAAUUGAAUAUGUGCUGUGGAGAAGUUCUGGUCUGGAAAAAAGUCUUGGGCAAGCACAUUUGAAUCAGAACUUGUUUCUCUCUGAAGUAUUUCAUGUUAACUGGUGGAAUAGUCACAGGAUACCCAGGUAUGACCACUCAGAUGGUUCUUUACAUAACUACAGGGGACACAUUCAAGAUUACUCUGGGCAGUAUGCUCUGGGGUGUGCAGUACACGAAUUUAUACCAAAUGUGGAGCCCUGAAAUGACUAAGCACAGCAAUAUGAUUAGUACUAUAAAAUAUAUAAACAAAGUCAUAUGAAGCACAAUUAGUUCUACAUGGGAAGGAAAGAACCAAAGGCAAUUGGUGAAGGCUACAUUGAAAAGUGAGACAUUUGAUGCAUGACUGGUAAUUUUCCAAGCAGAAUAGACAGAGAAUGUGGACAUUCCUAGCAUGGGAAAUAACAAAAAUGCAGACAAAGAGACAUAAAAAAAAUGCAUGGAGGGAAGGAUGGAGUAGGAACUCCCCAAAUCUGCUUAUCAUAAAAGCAAUGAGAACACUGGCAAAAAUGAAUAAAUAAAUAAAUAAAUAAAAAUCAACUUUAUCAGAGCUCUAGAAAUUAACUAAAGGCUUACAACAGUUCAUGGAGUAUAUGAUCAAGAAAAAUUGCAGAAUCUCAGAAAAAGUAGCAAGUCUUGUAGCAUUUUAACUUGCCCUAAUUCUAUAAUUCUCCCUAAGUUCUGUCAUAGCCUUGAAAACCAACAGAUUCAUAACAAUGGUAGCUGUGAAAACCAGAAGCUUAGCACCCACUGGAUGGAACAGAACAGUUUGGAGCUACACCAAAGUCCCAUGCCCAGAGAACUGUCAUUACUUGGCUUGUCUGGAAGCUCAUGGAAAAGUUCUAUUCUCAGAGUCAGGUCUAUGUGACCUGACUCAAAGCUUUGACUGUGUGAUGAUUCCUAUUUGCAAGACAAUAUAGCUCACAAACAGGAUACAAAGCAGUCGAUAGAAAUUGUCUUUGUGGAAGUCCAGAUGUUGGAGUUACUAGACAAACACUUUAAGCCCUCCAUUAUAAGCAUAUUCCAAGAAUUCCUUCAUUUAGGAUAUUGUAAAUUAUUAUGAGAAAAAACAGAGUUCUAUGGUCAAAUACAUUGAUGAUAUAAUGAGUUAAACAAUUUCUGCAUUGCAGGGUAUGUCAGUACCUUUCCUGUGCUAAUAUACAUAGUGAUCAUCUAAGAGCGAUGUAUUAUACAGCAUUUCCCAAACUUCUUUGACUAUAGAAAUAAAACAUCAGAAAACAUUUUAGAGCUUAUGGGGACAGUAAUGACUCUUCACAUGUAGUUUAGAAAAUACAGGCCUAGACCAUCAUCUCCUGUAAUAGGGUUAUUCCAAAGAUAGGAACACUGUCUUAUCUAAUUUGCAUGUCUCCUGGUACACUGUCCCAUACAUCCUCCUUGCUUUGUAAUUCUUUAAUGAAGGAAUAUAUACAAGUGGAAAAGCUAGAGGGGAAGAAAUAAUUAGAGGAAUAGCAACAUCAACAAAGCAGGAUAAAGACUUCUGGUUAGCCAGUCUCUCUUCUUCAUUCCCACCCUGGUUAUCCCCACCUGUAUAUGCUACAGGCAUCUCAUCUUAAGACCCAAACUGAUCUUAUCACAACGUGGGCUUCACAAAAGCACUUUGAAUUUUGUCAUUACCCUCCACCAUUUCCUGUCUUUUGUUGAUCCCUAAACCCAAAUCCAGCUGAGCUUCAAGUUCCCAUUUAACUCUGACUAGGAUUUGAUGGACUGACAUUCACACUCACCUGUCCAGUGUUUACCAUUCCCAGCCCUGGAAUACAACUCCUGACAUAUCUGCUUUCCUCCACUUCUCCUCUAUGUAAUACUUCAGAUCAGAAGGAAUUAUAGUGGUUGGGUCACUGAAGUUGUGCCGAGAACAAACCUGUCUCAGCCACAUUUAAUAGCGAUUUCAAAGAAGGUUCCUGUGGUUACCCUGAUCUAGGUAAUAUCUCUUCCAAACCUCCUGUACUUUUCAGUCAGUGACUCACCUCCAUUCUCCAGCUCUUUUCCCACUCUACUGAGCAGCAGAGAGAGUUAAACUAAAUAGCAAUACAGGGAAAGGGACAUUUUAUUUUAGAAUAUUUGGUGUGGGUAGGAUGAGAGCCAGUAGUAGAAGAGAUCUAAGCUAGGCAAGGGCACCUCAACCUAGUCCUAGAAACAAUGCAAUAUUAUCUAUUGAAGACUCCACCUCAGUGUUAUCACUGACAAGCAGAGAGUGCUGUGUUAAAACAACGCAGUGAAGACAAGAGGUUAAGAAGCUAAUGGUAAAGAAGAAAAACUAAAGGCAUUGAAAUAGCAACCGUUGUGAUGCAAAUUAAUCUUAUGUAAAUGUAGAAACUUGCUAGUUCUUUAGAGCUCUCUGACAAAUGUGCAUUUAAGCAACAACAGUCAAUUUUCCAGGAAACAUCUUUAUAGCAUAUUUUGAGUGGACCUUUUGAAUAAAGCAAUCAGAAAUGUUUGUUAUGACAAUGGAUAAUAAAACUGCCACUUGAAAGAAACUAGCAAUUGAGAGGGAGCAGCUUGACCAAAUAUGAAGAAGGUAAAAAAAUUCCAAUGGCUUGCUUUCACUGCCAGAGUAUCUGAAACACACUAAGAGCACUGUCAAGGGAGCUAUUCUUGAAUUUUAAUUCAGGUCCCCAACAUGUGUCUGUCUCUUGGUUUACUUGGGAGAAACCCUGAAGGCUCAGAUAGUCUUUGGAAUAAGGUCACUGUAGAAGACUGACAAGGGGUCCCUGGAUGAUAGAGAGGGCAGACAAUCCCUUCUCUCAUCAGUCAAUGGUGGCUGGUGGCUGUUAUUCACCCUUCUGAGAAACAGGACAAAACUGAUAAACUUCAAGAGCUGAAAAAAACACAUCAUAGAACAAUAAAGCACACUGAGCAUCCCAACACCCACAGCUGCAGGCAAGGUGCCAAAAUCUGUUAAGGCAAAAGUCACAGGCCCAGUGAAGCGAUGGAGAGUGGGCAGGCACUGGGCAGAAAGGGUGGGGGCAAAAUAAAGUAAUUGGAUCUGGUGAAAGAAGACAGGAAGGCUGAAGAAAAAGGUGAUCAAAAAUAUGAAUAUAGACAUAUACAUAUGCAACUUGUAUUUCUGCAUGUAAACAUCAAAUGUGACAAGUAUUUAUCGAACAGAAAUGCAGUAAAGCACGUUCCACAUCUGAAGGUUACAGUGCCACCAAUGUCCAUUCUAUUUGAGUUUAAGAUUAUCACUAUGAGUUACUGGACCCGUCUCCUUAUAUUUGCAUAGGUUUUUGAAUUUUAAUGACUUUGUUUUUUUCUUUUGAGAUGGAGUCUCACUGUAUCGCCCAGGCUGGAGUGCCAUGGUGCAAUCUCAGCUCACUGCAACCUCCCCUCCUGGGCUCAAGCAAUUCUCCUGCCUCAGCCUCCUGAGUAGCUGGGAUUACAGGCGCCCACCACCAUGCCCAGGUAAUUUUUGUGCUAUUAGUAGAGACGGAGUUUCACCAUAUUGGCCAGGCUGGUCUUGAACUCCUGACCUCAGGUGAUCCGCCUGCCUCAGCCUCCCAAAGUGCUGGGAUUACAGGCGUGAGCCACCGUGCCUGGCCUAAUAACUUAUAUUUGGUUAUCAUGGAGAUGAUAAAUUCAAAAUAUUUAUGUUUCUUUUUCCAACACCAAAUGAAACAAUAAAAUUUACACAUUGUCUCUGCUAAGUAUAAAACUGCAAAGGCUCCAAGAUUUUACUCUUAUUGAAAGAUAACAAGUUAAACUGCCCCAGCUUUAUCUACAUAUACUGACAUAAGAGCACAAGAUCCCUGAGCCUGCAAAACAGAUCAUUUAUUACUCCCUGCAAAAACCGCAGCCAAAGAGCAUCAUGUACUGGUUCCCACAUCCCAAUCACUGCAUAGUGAUGUGAUGAGGACCAGAUGUUACCUGUGUAUGCAGCAGGGUACAUCACAGGAGAGGAAUCCCCCAAUUCGGAGACUCUUAGCUAAAUUGGGCUCCUGGAGCAUCUUCCCAUCUCCUCCCCUC
This 15554-nucleotide long non-coding RNA is filed under the name Homo sapiens (human). RNAcentral describes it as "HSALNT0080834". The record is from RNAcentral. Lineage: Eukaryota; Metazoa; Chordata; Mammalia; Primates; Hominidae.